RNAcentral lists this transfer-messenger RNA (371 nucleotides) under Parcubacteria group bacterium ADurb.Bin216. Its description in RNAcentral is "transfer-messenger RNA, SsrA". It matches the Rfam family "Betaproteobacteria transfer-messenger RNA". From Rfam's summary of the family: Bacterial tmRNA, also known as 10Sa RNA or SsrA, is named for its dual tRNA and mRNA-like properties. Its role is to liberate the mRNA from a stalled ribosome. The record is from RNAcentral.
GAAUCUGCUAAAGAUAUUAGCAAGAUGAAAUAACUGUAUGAAGUAAGUAGAAACGUAUUCAAGACGCGAGUUCAAUUCUCGCCAGGUCCACCAGUUAGUAGCUUACGGCGACCGAUAAGGACUGUCAUAAAGCUAAGAGCCUUUGACUAAGCUACUAGCUAAUGGGCCUGACCUGGUUUCGAUUGGGUAAUUAGUAUACGAAUGGACAGUUCGCCAAGAAAGGCGUUAAAAUCGCAAAACUAUAAAUGCAAACGACAACGUUUUCGCAUUAGCAGCCUAAUACUCUGCUAAGGGUUCGUCCGGUUCCUCGUAACAGAAUACCGGACAUUAUAAGUUAGUACUUUUGUCCAUGGAGUUGGUAACGGACAGAU